GAGGCUUCUUUCUGAGAUUAAUUUGGCAGAAACCGAUUCACUUAAGUGUAGAGGAGGAGCAACCCAAGCACUAAGUUGAUGGUACUAUUUUUGUCUUUUGUCCAUUUUGAAAUUGUACAAUGGCUUCCAAGACCUACAGAGAACAAGUCUUUCAUUUUUCUUGCAUAGCAGUUGAAUUUCAAUUACUUAUACACACACACUUUCAUGGUCAUGCAUGUAUUUGAGGUUGAGGGGACAACCUAGAUUUGAGGCACGAACAUAAUUUCUUGCAUCAAAUAAGUUUUUAUAUUCAAAUAAUAAAAAAUAAAUUGAUGAACAACUAUGGGUGAAAGUCGAUGAG
This 340-nucleotide unclassified non-coding RNA is filed under the name Hevea brasiliensis (rubber tree). Lineage: Eukaryota; Viridiplantae; Streptophyta; Magnoliopsida; Malpighiales; Euphorbiaceae. The record is from RNAcentral.